GCUCGGGACCCGACUGCUUUUCCCGCGGCACCGCUCGGUAUGGAGAGCCCCGCCUGCAGCCUGGGCUUUCUGCGGCUCUUCCUGCCCGUUUGCAGGUUGCAGACAAAACCCACGCUCAAGUGGAGGCGUCCUGAGUUUUCACCAGGGCCUGUCGCAGGGCCUCCAGGAAGCCAGUGGCCGGACCUCAGAGUCACACAGUGAUAGACUUGGACCUCCGUGGUUAUCACCAAAAGGAGGUUUCCAACACACUGUCACACUGGAUAUUAUGAAAUACUCCAAAAAUAAGAAGAGAGGUCACUAAAACUGUGUGUCAAAGAGGAAGUAUCCAGCUUCCAGGUGAUGCUGCUGAGUUUCCUCGACUCUCUAGAACAGUGAUUCUCAAACUGAGAUGCUUUGGGCCUCCAGCGGACACUUGGCAACAUUGUGGAGACAUCUCUGAUUGUUACAACUGGGGUGGUGCAACGAAGCGGAGGCCAGCAACGCCGCUAAGCAUCCUACCAUGCUCGGGACAGCCCCGCAUGACAAAGCAGUGUCUCGCCUAAAGGCAAUGGGGACAAAUCACAGCAGUCAUCUCAGAAAUCAGAGGGAGGCAUGGCCUGCCACCACCAGGGAUCUGUGAAUGGACUCCACCUGCGGCCCCAGUCCCUCUCAGAGAACGGCCAAGAAGAGGCACUGCAGCCGAGCACCACCCGUUGUUGCUGUCACUCCCCUGGGAACACACCCGCCCUGCUGUUACCACUGCCAAAUGCUCCAGGCACCACCUACAGAUGCAGAUCACUGUCACUUCCCAGGGCCCUGCAACUAGGAGUAGCCUGUGCAACACCUCAUGCAUGGGCUAAGCAGGACAGGAUGCUUCUUGUGUGGGCUGCAGGUGGUGGGGGCCAACCACUGCAGUUAUCUCUGUCUCCAGAGGUAGGCGUGGCCCACCACCACUAGGAGUCCGUGAACAGGCACCAUUUGUGGCUCCAGUCACCACAGAGGGCACCACAGAGGAGGGCAUUGUGACUGAACACCACCCGUUCCUACUCUCACUCCUCCGGGAACUCACACACCAUGUCGCUGCCACUGCCCAAUGCUCUGGGCACUGCCUAAAUCUGCCUGAGGCUCAUUACCAGGUCCUAGGGCCCUGAACUAGGAGUAGCUGGCACCACCUUCUGGAACGUUCUUGCUACUGUGAAGAAGCCAGCAACUACGUACUGACUACUAGCUGUGCCCAUUGCCUCCUUCUCCCUGGAAACACAAGCAGCACCCUAUCAAGGGGAUAAGAACCUGCUCACACUGGGGAAAGAGUCAGCAAAUAUCCAAACUCCCACACCAAAAAUAAAGAGUAAUCCCCCCCCCCAAAAAAAAAGGGGUGCUCUUACAUAGAAAUAGCCCUCCAACACUACAGUAGUUGGUUUCCCUAAAGUCACAGAAGAGGAAGAAUAUAAGCAAAAUGAAGACGCUCAGGAACCAUUCCCAGUUAAAAGAACAGGAGAAUUCACCCGAAAGAGCAAACAAUGAAACAGACUAAAGCAGUCUAGCAGAUACUGAGUUCAAAAAUUAGGUGGUGAAAAUACUGAAGUAAUUAAGAGUGAAUAUGAAGGAAUUAAGAGCAGAUAUGAACAGUAGUGCAGAUUAUUUUAGAAAAGAACUACAAAAUAUUGGAAAGAGCCAAGAAAAAUUAUAAAAUGCAUUUUCAGAGACAUGAGCUGAGUUAAAGGCAUUAAAGAGCAGAAUGAAUAAUGCAGAGGAAUGAAUUAGUGACUUGGAAGAUAGAAUAAUGGAAAUCACCCAAUCAGGACAGCAGGCAGAAAACUAAGUGAAAAAACAUGAAAGCAAUAUGAGGUCUAUGGGAUAAUAUAAAGUGGGCCAAUCUAUACAUAAUAGGGAUUCCAG
Molecule: long non-coding RNA, 1878 nt
Filed under: Sus scrofa (pig)
Lineage: Eukaryota; Metazoa; Chordata; Mammalia; Artiodactyla; Suidae
Description: lncRNA (ENSSSCG00000058307.1)
Source: RNAcentral